GUACACGCUGUGACUAGCAUAUCAAUAAGCGGAGGAAAAGAAACUAACAAGGAUUCCCCUAGUAACGGCGAGUGAAGCGGGAAGAGCUCAAAUUUGAAAUCUUAAAGGGUUUCCCUUUACGAAUUGCAGUUUAAAGAAGUGUUUUCUGUUGAGGUUUUGGUAAAAGUUCUUUGGAAUAGGACAUCAUAGAGGGUGAGAAUCCCGUAUUUGACCUUUACUUUCAACUUUGUGAUACACUUUCAAAGAGUCGGAUUGUUUGGGAAUGCAGUCCAAAAUGGGUGGUAAAUUUCAUCUAAAGCUAAAUAUUGGCGAGAGACCGAUAGCGAACAAGUACCGUGAGGGAAAGAUGAAAAGAACUUUGAAAAGAGAGUCAAACAGUACGUGAAAUUGUCAAAAGGGAAGCGUUUGACACCAGUGUUGUUUUUCUGAAAAUCAAUUAAAGAACUGUUUAUGCUAAGCUGUUUAGGACUUUAUCAGCUAAUCUGUUUAGUUUUGAGCUUUUCUUUAAUGCACUUUUCAGUUAACAAGUCAACAUCAAUUUCUUUUGCUGUAAAAAAGCUUGAGGAAGGUGGCUUGAGAUUCGUCUUAAGUGUUUAUAGCCUCUUGCCUAUGCAGUCGGAGAGAUUGAGGUCUGCAGCGUAGAUCCUUCGGGGCUAAAUGCAUUUGUGCUAAGUUAUAGCAUUUUAUAGACAACUUGUUGACUAUGAUUUGUCUUGUAGCUUACUCGCUUAUGUUAUUUUACCUACGCUUAGGAUGUUGAAGAUGUAGCACAUCAU
Molecule: ribosomal RNA, 776 nt
Filed under: uncultured Neocallimastigales
Lineage: Eukaryota; Fungi; Neocallimastigomycota; Neocallimastigomycetes; Neocallimastigales
Description: partial large subunit ribosomal RNA
Rfam family: Eukaryotic large subunit ribosomal RNA
Source: RNAcentral